Molecule: RNase P RNA, 365 nt
Filed under: Geothrix sp.
Lineage: Bacteria; Pseudomonadati; Acidobacteriota; Holophagae; Holophagales; Holophagaceae
Description: RNase P RNA component class A
Rfam family: Bacterial RNase P class A
About the family: Ribonuclease P (RNase P) is a ubiquitous endoribonuclease, found in archaea, bacteria and eukarya as well as chloroplasts and mitochondria. Its best characterised activity is the generation of mature 5'-ends of tRNAs by cleaving the 5'-leader elements of precursor-tRNAs.
Source: RNAcentral
GUGGUGGAUCAGGGCGUCGCUGCUCGCAAGGGCAGAGGAAAGUCCGGGCUCCACAGGGUGCUGGGCCUGGUAACACCAGGGCGGGGCGACCCGACGGAAAGUGCAGCAGAGAACAGACCGCCGAUGGCCGCGCAAGCGGAUCAGGCAAGGGUGAAACGGUGGGGUAAGAGCCCACCGCCGGGCUGGCAACAGAACGGGCAAGGCAAACCCCCCAGGGAGCAAGACCAAAUAGGCCGGCGCACCGCGCAAGCGGCGAGGGUUGACCCGACCGAGCCGGCGGGUAGGUCGCUUGAGGUGGAUGGCGACAUCCAUCCCAGAGGAAUGACGCUCCACGACAGAACCCGGCUUACCGAUCCACCGGAGCC